Molecule: long non-coding RNA, 756 nt
Filed under: Olea europaea subsp. europaea
Lineage: Eukaryota; Viridiplantae; Streptophyta; Magnoliopsida; Lamiales; Oleaceae
Source: RNAcentral
CACCAAAGCAAAAGCUUUCAAAUUUAGAAUACACAAGAAAUUUAUUUGCAUAGAAUUCUGUCUUUUCUGCAUUUCUGUUUUGGUGGUGGUGUAGUUCAGGCACUAGUUCAGUUCGCCGGAGUGGUUUCUGCGGUGCUCGGAAGCUACUGGUUUUACCUUUGUAUCCUGGAAAAUGGAUGCUCGUUUUAAACCUCAAGCACGGAUGGUGAGGGGGCGAAUAUGUUUUAAGGAAACUGUGUGUAACACAGGCCUCGGUUUGAAAUUUCAUUUCCUGCAAUUUCAAUUAUUCGUUCUGUUAUUUAUUGCAGUAAAUUCAAUAGUUGAUUUGUUGUUCAUUCUGUUAUUAUCCAAUUAGUUGUACGAUUGUAACUUGCUGUUAUAUAUCAUCUUACCAGACAAAAAACAUAUAUGGUAUUGAAAUCGAGAAUAUCGGAUUCCUCAUUUUUCAUAAACCGACCGAACUGGUGAAACUUGGGAUUUUCUCUACAGCUGUAAGGUGUGGGUUUUCACCACCGUAGAUCACAUUCACUUAGAAAUUCUUGAUGGGAAGAAAAUGGUUUCUUGAUGGGCUUGAUAAUGGUUUGUGAUUUAGGAUGAUGGAAUUCAUGACAAGGUGGUAAGUUUUGUGGUGGAAGAGACAGGCGGGGCGACGGCGACGACGACGGCAACAAUUGUGGUGGUGGGUUAAUUUAGGUGGGGUGUGAAGGAGAUGAUGAACAAUACUUCUUUUUGGGUAGGGUUGGGGUUGAGGCUAGG